GUUGACUGGGUCCACUGAGACAAACAGAGUCUGUUGAGAGUUCAUCAGUUGACAGUCAGGAGGUCUGACGAGUUUAAUCUGAUGUUUCACUUCCAACAUUUACAAUCUACAGCAGCUCUUCAACACACAUCCACUGGGGACUGAUACUGUUCACACCUGCGAUUACACUACCCAGACGCUGUUGCAUUGUGGGGUUUUAUAACUGAACUUUGUGAGCAGGAACAGAAAAUAACUGAAGUUAAAGAUUCUGGUUUCCAUUUCUCUUCAGAAUCAGAACUUUUACUACUAAUGUGCAUCAAAGGGGACAGGUGAGUACGGGGACAGGUGAGUACGGGGACAGGUGAGUACGGGGACAGGUGAGUACGGUACGGGGACAGGUGAGUACAGGGACAGGUGAGUAAGGGGGACAGGUGAGUACGGGGACAGGUGAGUACGGGGACAGGUGAGUACAGACCUCUUAGGUGAGAUGAAGGGGAUGCAGAGCAGCAGGACGAAGAAGACCUCUGCGUACAGGAA
Long non-coding RNA from Dicentrarchus labrax (European seabass), 516 nucleotides. RefSeq lists it as uncharacterized. The transcript is spliced from 6 exons. The record is from RefSeq and is a predicted model, not a curated record. NCBI's taxonomy places the organism in Eukaryota, Metazoa, Chordata, Actinopteri, Moronidae.